Long non-coding RNA from Cyprinus carpio carpio, 1070 nucleotides. NCBI's taxonomy places the organism in Eukaryota, Metazoa, Chordata, Actinopteri, Cypriniformes, Cyprinidae. The record is from Ensembl.
GAUAAUUAUAGUCCAUGACUGAUGACUAAGAGUGUUUGCAUUGCUGGGGUUUGCUUUUCAUAGCACAAAAUAGCUAGCCCUUUUAAGACGAAGGUAAAUAGAUUCUGCCUCCUCAAGCAUUUUGACAAUGGAAAACAUUUUGUUUGUCAGCACAUAUCGUCUAACACCCAUAGACAGAGAAACGAGCGAGAGAAAUCAGCAGAGAUUGUCAUAAUCAUGGGCAUGCCUAUUUUCAUUAAUGUUACUCAAAUGGGGUAAUAUCUUUCAAAAUUAAAGGCAUCAACAUCCGUUUAUAGCUGAAAUGUAAUAAGUUAAAAUACAAUAAAAGGCACCUGCUGAUUGGCAAAAUAAUUUUCAAUUUAGUCUGAUGAGGAACAUUUCCAUUUAAACUGUCAUUAAGUGGAGCAGCAUGAUUACAAAACAACUAUGCCCAUGGCACAGAACACAUUUCAAUGAAACAGGACCACAUUUGGUUGAAAGAAAUCCAAAAUGAAGGUAUACAUAUCAAUAGAGAACGUACUAAUUUCUCAUUUUGUUUCAUUGAAAUCAUUGGAGAACUGUAUUCCACUGAGAUCAUGUUCCCAUCAAUAAAGCAUCCCUUCUUUAAUGUCCUUAGGACUUCUGCUUUUGAUGCUGAAAUUUUUCAAUGCCCUCUAGGUAACCAAGAAUGGAAGAGAUUCAUGAGUGCACUUCAGAAGGGUGUUGGCCCCAUUAUCAAUGCAGCAUCAUCUUGGGUUCCAAGUGAGCGGUGUCUGGCACUCUGAAGCGAUUUCUGGAUAUUUAAAGCCCCUUUCAGUCAAUCAAUUAAUGACAGUGAGGCUGAGCAAACAACAAAACAGGACCUUGUAAUUCAUUGCAGCCUCCACUUCUACACUUGGAAAAUCAAUUAUAUCAACUUGAUAUAUUGUGAAUGCACUGUUCUUCUAGAUACAUUUGAAACAUCUUGGUGUAGUAUGAUUAAUGUCAAGUAUUAAAUUAAAUUAAAUUAAAUUAAAUUAAAUUAAAUUAAAUUAAAUUAAAUUAAAUUAAAUUAAAUUAAAUUAAAUUAAAUUAAAUUAAAUUAAAUUAGA